RNAcentral lists this transfer RNA (84 nucleotides) under Gymnopilus junonius. It matches the Rfam family "tRNA". Rfam says of the family: Transfer RNA (tRNA) molecules are approximately 80 nucleotides in length. Their secondary structure includes four short double-helical elements and three loops (D, anti-codon, and T loops). Lineage: Eukaryota; Fungi; Basidiomycota; Agaricomycetes; Agaricales; Galerinaceae. The record is from Rfam by way of RNAcentral.
UCGGAUAUGGUGUAACGGCUAACAUUGCCGCCUCUCAUUCUCUUAAGUGCGCGGCAGCUCGGGGUUCGAUUCCCCGUAUCCGAA